CUGACAAAAAGACUAAGGCAAGGAUUUGGGUUUAAGAGAGGGCUUGGGAUGAGGAAUUUCCAGAUCUUCAACUCUUUGACCAGACAGAUGGAGCUUUUCAAGCCUAAAAUCCCUGGAAAAGUAGGGUACUAUGGCCAAUUGUGAAAUCAGGGAUAUUUCUCAGCCUUUGCAAGUGGGUUCUGUCGGGCAGGUGCAUGCUUUAUAUUCUAUUUAACUU
Molecule: long non-coding RNA, 217 nt
Organism: Magnolia sinica
Lineage: Eukaryota; Viridiplantae; Streptophyta; Magnoliopsida; Magnoliales; Magnoliaceae
Exons: 2
Source: RefSeq, a predicted model, not a curated record